GUGUCAGCCGCCGCGGUAAUACGAGAGGCCCAAACGUUAUUCGGAAUUACUGGGCUUAAAGAGUUCGUAGGCGGCGCAGAAAGUGGGGUGUGAAAGCCCUCGGCUCAACCGAGGAAUUGCGCUCCAAACUACUGUGCUUGAGGAAGCUAGAGGUGAGCAGAACUGAUGGUGGAGCGGUGAAAUGCGUUGAUAUCAUCAGGAAUACCGGAGGCGAAGGCGGCUCACUGGGGCUUUUCUGACGCUGAGGAACGAAAGCCAGGGUAGCGAACGGGAUUAGAUACCCCAGUAGUCC
Molecule: ribosomal RNA, 292 nt
Filed under: uncultured bacterium
Lineage: Bacteria
Description: partial 16S ribosomal RNA
Rfam family: Bacterial small subunit ribosomal RNA
Source: RNAcentral